This 448-nucleotide ribosomal RNA is filed under the name uncultured bacterium. Its description in RNAcentral is "bacterial SSU rRNA". It matches the Rfam family "Bacterial small subunit ribosomal RNA", at positions 354 to 796 of the family's 1533-position model. The record is from RNAcentral.
GUGAGGAAUAUUGGGCAAUGGGCGAAAGCCUGAUCCAGCCAUGCCGCGUGUGUGAAGAAGGUCUUCGGAUUGUAAAGCACUUUAAGUUGGGAGGAAGGGCAGUAAGUUAAUACCUUGCUGUUUUGACGUUACCGACAGAAUAAGCACCGGCUAACUUCGUGCCAGCAGCCGCGGUAAUACGAAGGGUGCAAGCGUUAAUCGGAAUUACUGGGCGUAAAGCGCGCGUAGGUGGUUUUGUAAGUUGGAGGUGAAAUCCCCGGGCUCAACCUGGGAACUGCCUCCAAAACUGCAUGACUAGAGUACGGUAGAGGGUAGUGGAAUUUCCUGUGUAGCGGUGAAAUGCGUAGAUAUAGGAAGGAACACCAGUGGCGAAGGCGACUACCUGGACUGAUACUGACACUGAGGUGCGAAAGCGUGGGGAGCAAACAGGAUUAGAUACCUUUAGUCC